RNAcentral lists this ribosomal RNA (565 nucleotides) under Acentronura breviperula. RNAcentral describes it as "partial 16S ribosomal RNA". It matches the Rfam family "Bacterial large subunit ribosomal RNA", at positions 1817 to 2597 of the family's 2925-position model. Lineage: Eukaryota; Metazoa; Chordata; Actinopteri; Syngnathiformes; Syngnathidae. The record is from RNAcentral.
CGCCUCUCGCAAACAAAUAUGAGAGGUCUUGCCUGCCCUGUGACCACAUGUUUAACGGCCGCGGUAUUUUGACCGUGCAAAGGUAGCGCAAUCACUUGUCUUUUAAAUAAAGACCCGUAUGAAUGGCUUAACGAGGGCUUAACUGUCUCCUUUCCCCGGUCAAUGAAAUUGAUCUCCCCGUGAAGAAGCGGGGAUACCGACAUAAGACGAGAAGACCCUAUGGAGCUUCAAAUUUUAGUUGAUAUUACAGCACACCCCUAAUUAAAGGGAGCAAAAGUAGUUAAUCUACUAACAUUUUCAGUUGGGGCGACCGCGGGGUAAAAAACAACCCCCGUGAAGAGUGGGGUUACAACCUCAGAACCAUGAACAUCAGUUCUAAGUAACAAAAAAUUUGACCAACAGAUCCGGUAUUACCGAUCAACGAACCAAGUUACCCUAGGGAUAACAGCGCAAUCCCUUUAAAGAGUUCCUAUCGACAAGGGGGUUUACGACCUCGAUGUUGGAUCAGGACAUCCUAAUGGUGCAGCCGCUAUUAAGGGUUCGUUUGUUCAACGAUUAAAGUCCU